GACGAACGCUGGCGGCGUGCCUAAUACAUGCAAGUAGGACGCUGAAGGAGGAGCUUGCUUCUCUGGAUGAGUUGCGAACGGGUGAGUAACGCGUAGGUAACCUGCCUGGUAGCGGGGGAUAACUAUUGGAAACGAUAGCUAAUACCGCAUAAUAGUAGAUGUUGCAUGACAUUUGCUUAAAAGGUGCAAUUGCAUCACUACCAGAUGGACCUGCGUUGUAUUAGCUAGUUGGUGGGGUAACGGCUCACCAAGGCGACGAUACAUAGCCGACCUGAGAGGGUGAUCGGCCACACUGGGACUGAGACACGGCCCAGACUCCUACGGGAGGCAGCAGUAGGGAAUCUUCGGCAAUGGACGGAAGUCUGACCGAGCAACGCCGCGUGAGUGAAGAAGGUUUUCGGAUCGUAAAGCUCUGUUGUAAGAGAAGAACGAGUGUGAGAGUGGAAAGUUCACACUGUGACGGUAGCUUACCAGAAAGGGACGGCUAACUACGUG
This 495-nucleotide ribosomal RNA is filed under the name uncultured bacterium. RNAcentral describes it as "partial 16S ribosomal RNA". It matches the Rfam family "Bacterial small subunit ribosomal RNA", at positions 28 to 507 of the family's 1533-position model. The record is from RNAcentral.